This is a non-coding RNA of Schistosoma margrebowiei, 45 nucleotides long. The record is from Rfam. NCBI's taxonomy places the organism in Eukaryota, Metazoa, Platyhelminthes, Trematoda, Strigeidida, Schistosomatidae.
AUUCAGUCGACGAGUUUCAAAUAGGACGAAAUGCGCGUCCUGGAU